CUCGUAGGCGGUUUGUCGCGUCUGGUGUGAAAACUCAAGGCUCAACCUUGAGCUUGCAUCGGGUACGGGCAGACUAGAGUGUGGUAGGGGUGACUGGAAUUCCUGGUGUAGCGGUGGAAUGCGCAGAUAUCAGGAGGAACACCGAUGGCGAAGGCAGGUCACUGGGCCACUACUGACGCUGAGGAGCGAAAGCAUGGGGAGCGAACAGGAUUAGAUACCCUGGUAGUCCAUGCCGUAAACGUUGGGCACUAGGUGUGGGGCUCAUUCCACGAGUUCCGCGCCGCAGCUAACGCAUUAAGUGCCCCGCCUGGGGAGUACGGCCGCAAGGCUAAA
This 333-nucleotide ribosomal RNA is filed under the name uncultured Sanguibacter sp. Its description in RNAcentral is "bacterial SSU rRNA". It matches the Rfam family "Bacterial small subunit ribosomal RNA", at positions 568 to 898 of the family's 1533-position model. The record is from RNAcentral. Lineage: Bacteria; Bacillati; Actinomycetota; Actinomycetes; Micrococcales; Sanguibacteraceae.